This 429-nucleotide ribosomal RNA is filed under the name Verrucomicrobiota bacterium. Its description in RNAcentral is "Verrucomicrobia bacterium partial 16S ribosomal RNA". It matches the Rfam family "Bacterial small subunit ribosomal RNA", at positions 355 to 776 of the family's 1533-position model. Lineage: Bacteria; Pseudomonadati; Verrucomicrobiota. The record is from RNAcentral.
UAGGGAAUCUUCGGCAAUGGGGGGAACCCUGACCGAGCAACGCCGCGUGAGUGAAGAAGGUUUUCGGAUCGUAAAGCUCUGUUGUUAAGGAAGAACGAGUGUGAGAAUGGAAAGUUCAUGCUGUGACGGUACUUAACCAGAAAGGGACGGCUAACUACGUGCCAGCAGCCGCGGUAAUACGUAGGUCCCGAGCGUUGUCCGGAUUUCUUGGGCGUAAAGCGAGCGCAGGCGGUUAGAAAAGUCUGAAGUGAAAGGCAGUGGCUCAACCAUUGUAGGCUUUGGAAACUGUUUAGCUUGAGUGCAGAAGGGGAGAGUAGAAUUCCAUGUGUAGCGGUGAAAUGCGUAGAUAUAUGGAGGAACACCGGUGGCGAAAGCGGCUCUCUGGUCUGUAACUGACGCUGAGGCUCGAAAGCGUGGGGAGCGAACAGG